RNAcentral lists this ribosomal RNA (451 nucleotides) under uncultured bacterium. Its description in RNAcentral is "bacterial SSU rRNA". It matches the Rfam family "Bacterial small subunit ribosomal RNA", at positions 354 to 796 of the family's 1533-position model. The record is from RNAcentral.
GUGAGGAAUAUUGCGCAAUGGGGGCAACCCUGACGCAGCGAUGCCGCGUGGGUGACGAAGGUCUUCGGAUCGUAAAGCCCUGUCAGGUGGGAAGAAUAGCUUGGGGGACAAUACCCUCCAGGUGUGACGGUACCACCGAAGGAAGCACCGGCUAACUCCGUGCCAGCAGCCGCGGUAAGACGGAGGGUGCAAGCGUUAUUCGGAAUCAUUGGGCGUAAAGGGCGUGCAGGCGGCCGAUCAAGUCAGGGGUGAAAGCCCGGGGCUCAACCCCGGAAGUGCCUCUGAUACUGGCUGGCUUGAGUUCGGGAGAGGGAAGCGGAAUUCCGGGUGUAGAGGUGAAAUUCGUAGAUAUCCGGAGGAACACCGGUGGCGAAGGCGGCUUCCUGGACCGAAACUGACGCUGAGACGCGAAAGCGUGGGGAGCAAACAGGAUUAGAUACCCGAGUAGUCC